This 394-nucleotide ribosomal RNA is filed under the name uncultured bacterium. RNAcentral describes it as "partial 16S ribosomal RNA". It matches the Rfam family "Bacterial small subunit ribosomal RNA", at positions 523 to 918 of the family's 1533-position model. The record is from RNAcentral.
AUACGUAGGGGACGAGCGUUGUCCGGAAUUACUGGGCGUAAAGGGCGCGCAGGCGGAUAUUUAAGUCAGCUGUAAAAGGCAUGAGCUCAACUCAUGUAUGCGGUUGAAACUGGGUAUCUAGAGUGCUGGAGAGGUAGGCGGAAUUCCUGGGGUAGCGGGGAAAUGCGUAGAUAUCAGGAAGAAUACCAGUGGCGAAGGCGGUUUGCUGGCUGCAUACUGACGCUGAAGCGCGAAAGCCAGGGGAGCGAACGGGAUUAGAUACCCCGGUAGUCCUGGCAGUAAACGAUGUAUGCUGGGUGUGAGACUAGCGAUAGUUUCGUGCCGAAGUUAACGCGAUAAGCAUACCGCCUGGGGAGUACGGUCGCAAGACUGAAACUUAAAGGAAUUGACGGGG